Molecule: ribosomal RNA, 521 nt
Filed under: uncultured bacterium
Lineage: Bacteria
Description: bacterial SSU rRNA
Rfam family: Bacterial small subunit ribosomal RNA
Source: RNAcentral
GAUGAACGCUAGCGACAGGCUUAACACAUGCAAGUCGAGGGGUAGCAGGGCCUAGCAAUAGGUUGCUGACGACCGGCGCACGGGUGAGUAACACGUGGAUGAUCUACCCAUCAGUUCGGGAUAACAGUUGGAAACGACUGCUAAUACCGGAUACGAUCUUUAUUUCGCAUUAAGGUGAAAGGCGGCCUCUGCUUGCAUGCUGUCGCUGAUGGAUGAGUCCGCGCCUCAUUAGGUAGUUGGUAGGGUAACGGCCUACCAAGCCAACGAUGAGUAGCCGGCCUGAGAGGGUAAUCGGCCACACUGGGACUGGAACACGGCCCAGACUCCUACGGGAGGCAGCAGUGGGGAAUAUUGCGCAAUGGGCGAAAGCCUGACGCAGCGACGCCGCGUGAGGGAUGAAGGCCUUCGGGUCGUAAACCUCUGUCAGGAGGGAAGAAGUGCAUUCGUGCUAAUCAGCGAAUGUUUGACGGUACCUCCAAAGGAAGCACCGGCUAACUCCGUGCCAGCAGCCGCAGUAAAAC